This 489-nucleotide ribosomal RNA is filed under the name uncultured bacterium. RNAcentral's name for it is "partial 16S ribosomal RNA". It matches the Rfam family "Bacterial small subunit ribosomal RNA", at positions 28 to 507 of the family's 1533-position model. The record is from RNAcentral.
GAUGAACGCUAGCUACAGGCUUAACACAUGCAAGUCGAGGGGCAGCAUGAUUGAAGCUUGCUUCAAUCGAUGGCGACCGGCGCACGGGUGAGUAACACGUAUCCAACCUGCCGAUAACUCGGGGAUAGCCUUUCGAAAGAAAGAUUAAUACCCGAUAGUAUAGUAUUUCCGCAUGGUUUCACUAUUAAAGAACUUCGGUUAUCGAUGGGGAUGCGUUCCAUUAGAUAGUUGGCGGGGUAACGGCCCACCAAGUCAACGAUGGAUAGGGGUUCUGAGAGGAAGGUCCCCCACAUUUGAACGGAGACACAGUCCAAAAUGCUACGGGAGGCAGGAGUGUGGAAUAUUAGUCGAUGGACGAGAGUCUGAACCAGCCAAGUAGCGGGAAGGAUGACUGGCCUAUGGGUUGUAAACUUCUUUUAUACGGGAAAUAAGUGGAGUAUGCAUACUCCUUUGUAGGUACCGUAUGAAUAAGGAUCGGCUAACUCCGUG